This 6213-nucleotide long non-coding RNA is filed under the name Sus scrofa (pig). RNAcentral describes it as "lncRNA (ENSSSCG00030009053.1)". The record is from RNAcentral. Lineage: Eukaryota; Metazoa; Chordata; Mammalia; Artiodactyla; Suidae.
UUUUUUUUUUUUUUUUUUUUUGGAGGAUUUGUGAAGGACUUGCAUUCAUCCCUACGCUAUAAUUACACUUUUCAAGAUCUACUUUCUUAAGACUUGCUGAAAGUUUUUUGAGCACGCACAUCUUUAUUUAAUUAAGGAAACAAGGUAUUGGCUUCCACAAUUUAAGUGACCACUUAUUUGCGAUUCUCAGAGGGUUCAAUUUGGUAGAAAAGGAAAGAGGAACGGUUCCUUGCCUGCCUUUGUACCAGGGUAUCUCCCAUGUUUAUGAUUGGUGAAAAUGUCGACCCGCGCCGAGAGAAACACGGAGACAGAGUUUUGAGUGAAGGGGAAAAAAUAGCUUUUAUUGCUUUACCAGUCCAAUGGCAAGAUUUUCAGUCUACUACCCCCCAAAUCCCAGUCCUUCCCACACCCCAAACUCCAGUCUGUCAAGCACAAAUCAGUUUUCCAGUCCACAAGUUUCUUUUCUGUAGAAAAUUUCAUGGGUGUCAUUUGUCAGAUUCCAGAUAGACUCGGUGUCCCAUGGUAUAUGCCUUUCACUUUCAGACAUAUUUCACUUACUAUGAGAGUUCCUCUUUCAAUCUAUGUGGCUGUGAAUGGCAUUUUUUUGCUCCAUUUUAUGGCCAAGUAGAUUUCCAUUGUGUGUAUGUAAAUCCUCUUCCUAAUCGAAUAUCCUGUCCAUGGACAUAGAGUUGUUUCAGUCUUGCUAUGGUGAAUAGUGCUGCAUGAACAAAGCGGGGCAUUUAAAAAUUUUUAAAGAGUGUAUAAAUCCUCUUCCUAAUCGAAUAUUCUGUCCAUGGACAUAGAGUUGUUUCAGUCUUGCUCUUGUGAAUAGUGCUGCAUGAACAAAGCGGGGCAUUUAAACAUUUUUAAAAAGUGUUUGCCGGGUAUAUGCUCAAGAGUCCGAUUUCCGAGUCAUAUGGUCCUCUCACAUUGGUUUUUCAGACUGCCUCGAUCCUGCGUCCGUAGUGGUUGUAGCAGUUUACGUAACCACCCAACUGUAAGAAGGUGCCUUCAGCUCCACAUCCUCUCCGGGGUUUUUAUUUGUAGACUUCCUAAUGAAGGUCAUUCAAGAGGGGUGCCUUUUGAAUGUCAUUUUGUUUGCAUUUCUCUCCUAAUAAAUGAUCUUUUUUUUUUUUUUUCUGGUGCUUGCUGCCCUCUGUUUAACUGGCUUAGGGAAAUAGCUAUUCAGGUCUUUUGCCCAUUUUUCAAUUGGGAUCUUGGUGGUGUUUUUCUGUUGGGUGGUGUUUUGGCUGUUGUUGAGCUGGUAAUUUUGAUACCCCGGCCUGACCUGGGCUUUGGUAUUCAGAUAAAGUGCCUGCGGGUUGUGCAUGAAAGGGGAUAAUAUGGUGAUAUUUUGCUCAGUCACUGUGCUAAUUCCUGUGCUUUUUGUCUCAAGCGGUCUCCUGAAAAUCCAUCCUUUUCUUUAUAUUGUGAGGCUCUUCUCUUCUCUCCAUUCACUUGGUUUAAAUACCUGACCUAGAGCAAGGUCAGGUUAAUUAAGGCUGGUAGAUUCAAUUAUAUAAAUAAAUCUCUCACCAAGAUCCCUCGAGGAUCCCUUGGUAAAAGAUCAAUCUUUCUCUCUGUAGUGGUUUGAUAACCUCUAUGUCUUGAAAAAUAUCGACUGGCCGAAAACGCACACAUGCUUAAGGUGGAGUCAAUAAAGUUAGAAAUAUGUCAAGAGAGAAAGAGAAAAAUGAAAGAAAAAAGCAAGACUUUAUGAAUGAAGGAUUCACAGUUGGAAAAUAAAGAACAAAAUCAGUUGUUACAUACCUACAACCUAUCUUCAUAAAUACAUAAUUGCAGGGAUAUAUAACAAUGGAAGUAGGAUAUCAUGAAAUGAUGGGUCUGGAGCUGGGUGUUUGAAGUGAGUAGCAUCUGUAAUAUGUUUGCUACAGGGCUCUGAAUGCUUUGAGAGAGAAGUAGCCCAGCUGGGAGGUCACUUCUUGAUAUUUCAUAAACCAGAGGAAGGAAACCCAAGGAGCAUAUUGCCCAUGAAUAAUGCAGCUCCUUGGGCUGUUGAGCCUGUUAGGGGAAGAAGACCUGACAGUGGCUGUUAGAGCAGAUGUCCACCAGAUGGCCCCAGAGUAAGUUCUGGACCCGAUGCAGCUCCAGGCCUGCAGGUGCAGCUCAGGCCACAUCCAGCACCUUGAUUUUGGUUUUGUUUUCUGAACACCUGUGACUCUCUGCUCUGAUAUGUCUCAUGUCAGGCGAAGGACACAGGUGUCCCUUCAGCAUUUUUAGGUGGAUUGGGGCCUGGUGGGGUGCCAGGGGUUUUAGAAUAUUUGAAGAAUUCACUGGGUUUUGAAGUGUUUUGUGUUCCUCCCGAUGUAGGUGCCAAGACCCAUACAUCAUUUGUGUUGAAUCGUGGCCUGGCCAUUUUAAAGCCCCUGCGGGUUGGAGGUUCAAGUAUGUUGAAGAUAGAGGCUGGUGCUGAUGAAGGAAUGAUGGCUUCUGGGGCAUCAUGGGGGCAGCUGUGCUAAUCCCUGUGCUUGUUUCUUUCAAGAGGCCUGGGGCAUGUUCUUCUUGCCUUUGGAGAUGAGCAUCUCUUUUCAGUACAGUGCCAGGUUAAGGAGGCCUGACUGAAACCAUGUCUGGUUAAGUAAGCAGGGCUGAUUGGUAUCAUCAAGAAUGCUCUCAGCGUGUUCCCUCGUGGCUGCCUGGCUUAAUAGUCUCUCUCUGUCACUGCUGUGGCUGUGCUCAAACCUUUGAUGUGUGAUCAGACUCUGGCCAGACAACAUUCCAGUAUCACAUGUGGCACCCAAAUAUAUUUAUAAGUGCAUACAUAUACUGAAAGGAAUGUGCUCAAUUUAUAAAGAAGUCAAAGAAAGCAUAUACACAUUCCUACAGUGUAGCUAAGGACAUUGGUAGCUAAGGCAAUCCUAACGGCUCUCCUGACCCUAUAACUUGGGUGGCAGAUUUUUUUAAAGUACGAGCCCAGGUUUGUACUACAGUGGUGUGGUUUCAGUUCCUGGGCAGACAGUAUCUGCAUCCAACAAAAGGGUGCAGAGCCAUAAAUAGGUAAAUAAAAAGAAAAAUGUUAAUGUAGAAAUUAAUCAUAAACCUAUGAAAUUCUCUGUUUUUGGAUGUCACAUUGCUAAGAAAUCUUGGCAGGUUCAACGGAGACGGUUUGCCUGUUGUUGUUUUGAUUGUUUUGUUUUUUUGUUUUUUGUUUUUUUCUGAGAGAGGCGUGAUUCUGGACCCAGACGUCUUCUCUGGUGAAUGCUGAGCCAGUCAUUUUUGUGGGCUUUAUAAAACCAUCUUUAAAGUUUCCAUUGGAGCUGAUUUAUUCUCAAUUUCUCUUUAAGAGCAACGUGAUACAUUUGUACCUGUAUAUACACAUUCUAUUUUAAAGUUGUAGUAGUUUUAUUUUUUCCGUUAUAGCUGGUUUAGAAUGUUGUGUCAAUUUUCUGCUGUACGCAGAUGACCCAUUAUCACGCUCCAUUAUAAGUGACCAUAUAUAAUUCCCAGUGCUAUGCAGCAGGUUCUCAUUGACGCUCCAUUCCAGAGGCAAUAGUUUGCAUCUAUUAACCCAAAGUCCCCCUCCGUCCCCCUCCCUCCCCCUUGCCAGCGGCACAGGUGUCCCUCAGGAUAUGGAGGUGGACUGGCAGUCUGGUUGGGUGGCAGUGCUUUUAGAAUGCUUGUAGCAUUCACUGGGUUUCAGAAUGACUUGUGUUCCUGCAGAGGCGGGGACUGAGACACACACAGCAUCUGUGUUGUAUCAUCACUGGGCCAUUUUCCAGCCCCUGACCAUUGGGGGUUUAUGUAGUUUGAGGAAGAGGCUGGUGCCCACAAAUGAAUGAGGGGCUUUGGUGUCAUUAAGGUGGGCAGCUGGGCUAAUCCUUGUGCUUUUUUCACUCAAGAGGCUUAGGGAAAUUUCAUUUUUGCCUUUUGAGAUGAGCCUCACCUUUCACUACAGCGCCAGGGUGUGGAGGCAUGACUGAAACCAGGCCUGAUGAAUUGAGAAGAGUUGAUUGGUAUCAUCAAGGACGCGCUCAGGAAGUUCCCUUCUGGCUGCCUGGCUCAAGAUUCCCUCUCUGUUGGUGCUGUGGUUGUGUUAAGAGCUGCAUCGGGAGAUUGAACCCUGGCCAGACAACAUCCCCAUAUCGCAGGUGGCACACAAAUAAAUUUAUAAAUUAAAAGAGAUAUAGAAAUGAAUGAGCUCAGUUGAUAAAGUCCUUAAUCAAUACAUAUCUGCAUUCCUAAAGAGCAGACCAGUGAAUUGAUAGAUGAGGCAAUCCUAAAGGCAUUGCUGACACUCUAACUCAGGGGACAGAGCCCGAUCCUGCUGUUGUGCAGAAGUGCGGUGGACUAAGUACCUAGGCAGACAGUAUCUGCAUGCCAAACAUUGCCCCAGGACAUAACUAGAUAAGUGAAACUAGUAAAUAAAAUGCUAAUACAGGAUUAUAUUCCUACACACUAAGUAAUUAUAGCUGGUCUUUUUCACAUUGCUAGGAGAUCUUGACAGGUUCAAUGAAUUCUCUCUGCCAGGUUUUUUGUUUUUUCCUUAAGAGGCAGGAGUGUGGACAUAGACAUCUUCUCUGGUGAUGCUGAGCCGGUCAUUUUAGAAUGAUUUUAUCAUUUUUUUCCUUUACAGCUGGUUUAUUGUGCUCAGUUUUUCUUUAACAGCAAACUGAUCCCUACGUACUUGUAUAUACAUACUCUUUUGCUCACAUAUCCUCCACCUUGCUCUGAAAAAGGGGACUAGAUAUAGUUCCCUGGGCUAAGUAUCAGGGUGUCAUUGCUUACCACACCAAGUGCAAGGUUUUGGAUCUAUCAACCCCCAAACCCCAGUCCUUCACACACCCUCCCCCUCCAAUCCGAUAACCGCAAAUCUGUUUUCCUGUUCAGAGUUUCUUUUCUGAUGAAAGGUUCCUUACUGCCAUUUGUUAGACUCCAGAUAGAAGGGGUAUUCUUUGGUAUUUUUCUUUUUUCUUUUUGUCUUUUCUAGGGCCACACUCGUGGUGUACGGAGAGUCCCAGGCUAGGGGUCUAAUCAGAGCUGUAGCCGCCGGCCUACGCCAGAGCCACAGCAACACAGGAUCCGAGCCGCGUCUGCGACCUACACCACAGCUCACAGCAAUGCCGGACCCUUAACCCACUGAGCAAGGCCAGGGAUCGAACCCGCAACCUCAUGGUUCCUAGUUGGAUUUGUUAACCACUGAACCACGACGGGAACUCCCUUUGGUAUUUUUCUAUCUCUUUCGGACUUCUUUCACCUAGUGUGAGGGUUUCUAGUUCCAUCUAUGAGGCUGUGGAAGGCAUUUUUUCUUCUUUUAUGUCUGAGUAGUAUUCCAUUGUGUACAUGUACAUCCUGCUCCUAAUCCCGUCAUCUGUCGAUGGACACUGGGUUUGUUCCCUUAUUUUGCUAUUGUGAAUAGUGCUGCAUGUGCCUAGCUCUGCCUUUAACUUUUUAAAAGAACACUUUCCAGGAGUAUGCCCGAGACUGGGAUUGCUGUGUCAUGGGUUGUUCUAUAUUUAUUUCUUGUAUUUAACUCAAUUCAGUGGACCGCAGUGGUUGUACCAAUUUAGAUACUCACCUACACUGUGGGAGGGCAUGCUCUACAGCACACCCAGCUCACCAUUCCUUAACUGUAGCCUUUCCAAUGAUGCCCAUUCUCACGGAUGUGCGGUGGCAUCUCAGCACCCAUUUUAUUUGCUUCUUUCUACUGCUGAGUGAUGGUGAUCAUUUUUACAGCGCUUGUUGCCCUCUGAGUAUCUGGACUAGGGAAAUGCGUACUUAGGUUUUUACCCAUUUUUCCAUGGGGUUGUUGGCUUUAUUUUGCUGUUGUGCAGAAUCUGUUGUUGGGGUGGUAUUUUGGAAACCCCAGCCUGACCUGGGAUUUGGGAUCCAGAAAACGUGCCUGUGGGUUGUAUGGAAGGUUGUAGAUGGUGAUGGUUUGGUGAGCAGCUGUGCCUCCCUGUGCUUUUCCCCACGUGGUCCCUGAAACCGGGUCCUUUUCUCUCCACGUGAUCCUCUUUUGCUCUCCCUAUACACUUGCUGUGAGGACCUCAUCUAAAUCCAGGUCCGGGGAUUAAGGCAGGCAUAUUGAUGGAUGUAAAGGAAGCUCUCACCAAGAUGCCUCCCUGCUCCCUUGGUAAAAGGUACGUCUUUGUCACUGUGGUGGGUUUGGUAACUUCUUUUGCUGAAACAACUUUAGUGGACCAACAACUCAUGCACGCCUCAGGUGGGGUCAAUAAAUUUAGAAAGAAAGAG